AUGGCAGAUUUUAUCAAUCCCAAAAAAUAUGUGGAGGUUGUCAAAGCUGUAAAAUUGACAUGUGGAUAUGAUGAAGAAACUGAAAAAUACAGAGUUCCCUCACUUGCAAAGAAAAUAGGAAAUGCUUUGUCAAAACUCAGCAAAGUUGUAAAGGUCCAGGCUUUAAUUGCUGGAGACAAAGUGUUGGAGAAGAAAGCAACAGACUUUCAAGAAGUCCACAGUGAAAAGUGGAAUGAGCUGGUGUCUGCUACAGCAGCACGCAAUGCUUCAGAAUCACAAUGGAAUGUGCCAACAAUGCUGCCGUUCACUGAGGAUGUGCAAAAACUUCACACCUUUCUGAACAAAAACUGUGAUGAAUGCAGCAGUAACUUGUUGGAAGAGGCAUCAGAAAAGAACUGGUCUGCACUUGUAAAAGUGGUCAUGGCUGAAAUUAUUUUGUUCAACAGACGUAGAGAGGGAGAGGUUUCAAGAAUGCUGCUUUCUUCUUUUCUUACAAGAGACACAUCUACCCCACAUGGAGACAUAGACUGGGCACUUUCUGAGGCUGAGAAAGUUUUAUGCAAACACUUUACAAGGGUCAUUAUCAGAGGGAAAAGAGGACGUGCUGUCCCCAUUUUGCUUACCCCUAAAAUGGUGGAUGCUCUGGAUUUGCUGGCGAAAAAACGAGAUGCUUGUGGCGUCAUAAAGACUAAUCAGUACAUGUUUGCACGGCCAUCAGCAACGACCCACUUCAGAGGGUCAGACUCGCUCCGAAGUUUUGCUCUUGCUUGCAGUGCGAAAUGUCCAAAGGCUUUGACCUCAACAAAGUUGCGAAAACAUGCUGCCACACUCUCAACUGUACUGAACAUGAGCAACACAGAGAUGGAUCAAUUGGCCAACUUUCUUGGCCACGAUAUAAGGAUCCACCGUGAGUUCUACAGACUACCAGACAAAACCCUCCAACUUGCCAAAGUGAGCAAAGUACUGAUUGCCCUUGAACAAGGAAGGAUUGCAGAUUUCCAAGGAAAGAGUUUGGAUGAAAUUAACAUUGAUCCACAGGGUAUAAAGACACUUACUGACAUACAUUUCAUCAGCACUUUAUUGAAAGUUUUCCUAGACUGA
RNAcentral lists this long non-coding RNA (1101 nucleotides) under Gouania willdenowi (blunt-snouted clingfish). RNAcentral's name for it is "lncRNA (ENSGWIG00000016539.1)". The record is from RNAcentral. Lineage: Eukaryota; Metazoa; Chordata; Actinopteri; Blenniiformes; Gobiesocidae.